This 497-nucleotide ribosomal RNA is filed under the name uncultured bacterium. RNAcentral's name for it is "partial 16S ribosomal RNA". It matches the Rfam family "Bacterial small subunit ribosomal RNA", at positions 28 to 507 of the family's 1533-position model. The record is from RNAcentral.
GAUGAACGCUGGCGGCGUGCCUAAUACAUGCAAGUCGAGCGAACAGACGAGGAGCUUGCUCCUCUGACGUUAGCGGCGGACGGGUGAGUAACACGUGGAUAACCUACCUAUAAGACUGGGAUAACUUCGGGAAACCGGAGCUAAUACCGGAUAAUAUAUUGAACCGCAUGGUUCAAUAGUGAAAGACGGUUUUGCUGUCACUUAUAGAUGGAUCCGCGCCGCAUUAGCUAAUUGGUAAGGUAACGGCUUACCAAGGCAACGAUGCGUAGCCGACCUGAGAGGGUGAUCGGCCACACUGGAACUGAGACACGGUCCAGACUCCCACGGGAGGCAGCAGUAGGGAAUCUUCCGCAAUGGGCGAAAGCCUGACGGAGCAACGCCGCGUGAGUGAUGAAGGUCUUCGGAUCGUAAAACUCUGUUAUUAGGGAAGAACAAAUGUGUAAGUAACUAUGCACGUCUUGACGGUACCUAAUCAGAAAGCCACGGCUAACUACGUG